AUAUUUGCUUUAUUAUUAGGUAAAGAUAUGUGGAUUUACAUGUCGACAUAAUAUUAAAUUAUUUUUUUGUGGGAGAGGAUCCACAUGUAGCUUGCUACAGGGAUCCACGAGUAUCACCCUAGCGGUGCACUACUGCUAGGGCUAGUGCACCCCAA
Triticum aestivum (bread wheat) is the source of this 155-nucleotide non-coding RNA. The record is from Rfam. Lineage: Eukaryota; Viridiplantae; Streptophyta; Magnoliopsida; Poales; Poaceae.